RNAcentral lists this ribosomal RNA (1380 nucleotides) under Legionella pneumophila. RNAcentral's name for it is "partial 23S ribosomal RNA". It matches the Rfam family "Bacterial large subunit ribosomal RNA", at positions 1564 to 2925 of the family's 2925-position model. RNAcentral also lists the same sequence under 1 other name. Lineage: Bacteria; Pseudomonadati; Pseudomonadota; Gammaproteobacteria; Legionellales; Legionellaceae. The record is from RNAcentral.
CGAAGUGGUUCUGACCUUUUGGUACAGAGAAGUCAUUGAUGCCCGGCUUCCAGGAAAAGCUGCUAGCCAUAACUUAUAGAGAACCGUACCGCAAACCGACACAGGUGGACAGGUAGAGAAUACUAAGGCGCUUGAGAGAACUCGGGUGAAGGAACUAGGCAAAAUGGUACCGUAACUUCGGGAGAAGGUACGCCCUUUCUGGUGAUGGGAUUUACUUUCAGAGCUGGAGAGGGCCGCAGAGACCAGGUGGCUGCGACUGUUUAUUAAAAACACAGCACUCUGCAAAUUCGUAAGAAGACGUAUAGGGUGUGACGCCUGCCCGGUGCCGGAAGGUUAAUUGAUGGGGUUAUCUUCGGAGAAGCUCUUGAUCGAAGCCCCGGUAAACGGCGGCCGUAACUAUAACGGUCCUAAGGUAGCGAAAUUCCUUGUCGGGUAAGUUCCGACCUGCACGAAUGGCGUAACGAUGGCCACACUGUCUCCACCCGAGACUCAGUGAAAUUGAAAUCGCUGUGAAGAUGCAGUGUACCCGCGGCUAGACGGAAAGACCCCGUGAACCUUUACUAUAGUUUUGCACUGGACUUUGAUGAUGACUGUGUAGGAUAGGUGGGAGGCUGUGAAGUGAGGACGCUAGUUCUCAUGGAGCCGCCCUUGAAAUACCACCCUGUUGUUAUUGAGGUUCUAACUUGGUCCAGUAAUCCUGGAUGAGGACAGUGUAUGAUGGGUAGUUUGACUGGGGCGGUCUCCUCCCAAAGAGUAACGGAGGAGCACAAAGGUACCCUCGGUACGGUCGGACAUCGUACCAAGAGUGUAAAGGCAAAAGGGUGCUUGACUGCGAGAGUGACGGCUCGAGCAGGAACGAAAGUUGGUCUUAGUGAUCCGGUGGUUCUGAAUGGAAGGGCCAUCGCUCAACGGAUAAAAGGUACUCCGGGGAUAACAGGCUGAUACCGCCCAAGAGUUCAUAUCGACGGCGGUGUUUGGCACCUCGAUGUCGGCUCAUCACAUCCUGGGGCUGAAGCAGGUCCCAAGGGUAUGGCUGUUCGCCAUUUAAAGUGGUACGCGAGCUGGGUUUAGAACGUCGUGAGACAGUUCGGUCCCUAUCUGCCGUGGGCGUAGGAAAAUUGAGAGGAGCUGCUCCUAGUACGAGAGGACCGGAGUGGACGAACCUCUGGUGCACCGGUUGUCACGCCAGUGGCAUGGCCGGGUAGCUAAGUUCGGACGGGAUAACCGCUGAAAGCAUCUAAGCGGGAAGCCUCCCUCAAGAUGAGUUUUCCCAUGAAGCCCGUUGAAGACUACGACGUUGAUAGGCAAGGUGUGGAAGCGCAGUAAUGCGUGAAGCUAACUUGUACUAAUUGGCUGAUUGUCUUGACCAUAUAAUCUGAG